UUUUAUUAUUUUAUCUUAAUUAUUUUUUAAAAUAUAUAAUUAUUAUUAUUAUUAUUUGUUAUUAUUUUAAAAUUAAGGUUUUAAAGUUGGGCUUUGUUUCCUAUGGGUCCAAUAUCAUUUGGUUUACUCCCCGUGUUAAUUCAUGCAUCAUUUUGUAUUUUAUUUGUUUUAUUAUUAUAUUUUUAUUUUAUAAAUUUAAAUUAAUAGUUAAUUAGGUAUUUAGGUUUUA
This 229-nucleotide long non-coding RNA is filed under the name Lathyrus oleraceus (garden pea). RNAcentral's name for it is "Pisum sativum (pea) long non-coding RNA (PSAT_LNC005520)". The record is from RNAcentral. Lineage: Eukaryota; Viridiplantae; Streptophyta; Magnoliopsida; Fabales; Fabaceae.